UACGUAGGGACCAAGCGUUGUUCGGAUUUACUGGGCGUAAAGGGCGCGUAGGCGGCAAUUCAAGUCAGCUGUGAAAUCUCCGGGCUUAACUCGGAACGGUCAGCUGAUACUGCUUUGCUAGAGUGCAGAAGGGGCAAUCGGAAUUCUUGGUGUAGCGGUGAAAUGCGUAGAUAUCAAGAGGAACACCUGAGGUGAAGACGGGUUGCUGGGCUGAUACUGACGCUGAGGCGCGAAAGCCAGGGGAGCGAACGGG
This 253-nucleotide ribosomal RNA is filed under the name uncultured bacterium. RNAcentral's name for it is "partial 16S ribosomal RNA". It matches the Rfam family "Bacterial small subunit ribosomal RNA", at positions 524 to 776 of the family's 1533-position model. The record is from RNAcentral.